Molecule: RNase P RNA, 170 nt
Filed under: Candidatus Eiseniibacteriota bacterium
Lineage: Bacteria; Candidatus Eiseniibacteriota
Description: partial RNase P RNA component class A
Rfam family: Bacterial RNase P class A
About the family: Ribonuclease P (RNase P) is a ubiquitous endoribonuclease, found in archaea, bacteria and eukarya as well as chloroplasts and mitochondria. Its best characterised activity is the generation of mature 5'-ends of tRNAs by cleaving the 5'-leader elements of precursor-tRNAs.
Source: RNAcentral
GGAGUAGACUAGGUGAUCGCGGGUAGCGUUUGCUGCUCGAGGAAAGUCCGAGCUCCAGAGGGCAGGGUGCUGGGUAACGCCCAGUGGGAGCGAUCCUAAGGAAAGUGCCACAGAAAACAGACCGCCGUGCUGCACGGUAAGGGUGAAACGGUGAGGUAAGAGCUCACCAG